AGUUCAGCUAAUGUAAUUUUAUGAAAAAACUACGAAGCAUUUAAACCGUUGAAAUUUAGGGUUAAAGCUAGGGUUUUAGUGUUUCUUUCUAUCCGAGACUCUGUCACAACUAAUUUCAUUAGAUGGGUUUUGUUGGAGCCAAGCUCAAGACAGAGCAGCAUCCAUGGCGGCCACCUUACCACAAACUAAUGUAAAACCAUAUAAUCGCUAGGUAUGUGAAGAUGUCGUGGUAAAACUAUUGAGUGAUUCAGAUAUGUCUGAAGCUGUCCUUAAAGAUUUCCGAAGUGCGCCGGAAUCUUUAGCCCAGUCCUUAAUCUUUAGCGAGCCAGGGAAGUUGUCAUUUGAUUCCUUCAUUUGAUUUCUCAAUGAGGCUAUUGUCAUAGUUACUCUGACAGUCUUUUGAGAAAGCAACUUGGUUUUUUUGGCAAAUGGCAAAUUGUCAGCUGCACUUGCAGAUAAGUGCUUGAAGAAGUCAGUAUUUUCAUUUUGUUUUUGUUUUUGUUUUUGGGUUUUAUGUAUUUUUGUUUAAAGCCUUGUCAAAUUUGAAACUUAUGAUUUCGUUUCUUAUGUUGAAGAGAUUGGAAUCCCAAUGAUUCAGAUUUUUCUGUUGUCAUUUAUGUUUCUUUUUGUUUUUGCAGAGUCUGGUAUCUGGUGAUGGAUUAAGUGUAUUAGCUAUGUGCAAGAUUGUUUCUUGUCUUUUGAAAAUGUCAUCUACACAAAAAGAAAAAAUAGAAUAUUUAAUUAACAAUGUUUAUAAAACCUUAUACUUAACCAUAUGCGAAUUGGUUGUUAUUGGGUUUACCCCACAUUGAUAAGAAUUGAGGACAAAGUCAUAUUUUUAUCUAAAAAGGAGAAUUUUAUACCAUAUGCAAUUUCGUUGAUAUCCAUCAAAACUUCUCUAUAUGAUAUAAUCUUUGUGCAGGGGUCAGCUUCAGUAUUUAUUUAAUUGGAUUCCAAUCUCUUCCGCAAGAAGCACCUGCGGCUAUAUGUUUAUUACGUACAUAUAUCUUAUUACUUUUUAAAUUGCAUUAUCAUAUCCAUUCUGAUCUCUGUAAAAAUAUCAGAGCCCAUUCAAAAUCUCACCUUUUCCACUAUUUUAUUUCAACAUAAUAUAAGUAUCCAAAUAAUAUAUAAUAUAAUAUAGUCUUAUUGUCACCUUUUUUAUAAGGAAAAAUGAAGGGUCUUUUAAAGGGACAUGUCUAUUCUGGUUCCAAAACGGCAUUGCGGAUUGACUAACACGUGUUAGUCGCGCGUUUUACACCAUUGACUAACCUAUCGCUAACAAGCUGUACAAACUCUUUUUUUCAUAGAAAAUUGAUAAAUGGAUGAAGCCUGACC
Molecule: long non-coding RNA, 1338 nt
Organism: Cryptomeria japonica (Japanese cedar)
Lineage: Eukaryota; Viridiplantae; Streptophyta; Pinopsida; Cupressales; Cupressaceae
Exons: 3
Source: RefSeq, a predicted model, not a curated record